UGGGGAAUAUUGGGCAAUGGGGGAAACCCUGACCCAGCGACGCCGCGUGAGGGAAGAAGGUUUUCGGAUUGUAAACCUCUGUUCUUGGUGAAGAGGGAAAGACGGUAGCCAAGGAGGAAGCCCCGGCUAACUACGUGCCAGCAGCCGCGGUAAUACGUAGGGGGCGAGCGUUGUCCGGAAUGAUUGGGCGUAAAGGGCGCGUAGGCGGCUGUUUAAGUCUGGAGUGGAAGUCCUAUUUUUAAGGUAGGAAUUGCUUUGGAAACUGAGCAGCUUGAGUGCAGGAGAGGUCAUCGGAAUUCCCGGUGUAGCGGUGAAAUGCGUAGAGAUCGGGAGGAACACCAGUGGCGAAGGCGGGUGACUGGACUGCAACUGACGCUGAGGCGCGAAAGUGUGGGGAGCAAACAGG
This 406-nucleotide ribosomal RNA is filed under the name uncultured bacterium. RNAcentral's name for it is "bacterial SSU rRNA". It matches the Rfam family "Bacterial small subunit ribosomal RNA", at positions 355 to 776 of the family's 1533-position model. The record is from RNAcentral.